UGGGGAAUAUUGAACAAUGGGGGGAACCCUGAUCCAGCCAUGCCGCGUGUGUGAAGAAGGCCUUAUGGUUGUAAAGCACUUUAAGCGAGGAGGAGGGUACUGGUAUUAAUACUACCAGCUACUGGACGUUACUCGCAGAAUAAGCACCGGCUAACUCUGUGCCAGCAGCCGCGGUAAUACAGAGGGUGCGAGCGUUAAUCGGAUUUACUGGGCGUAAAGCGUGCGUAGGCGGCUAAUUGAGUCGGAUGUGAAAUCCCCGAGCUUAACUUGGGAAUUGCAUUCGAUACUGGUUAGCUAGAGUGUGGGAGAGGAUGGUAGAAUUCCAGGUGUAGCGGUGAAAUGCGUAGAGAUCUGGAGGAAUACCGAUGGCGAAGGCAGCCAUCUGGCCUAACACUGACGCUGAGGUACGAAAGCAUGGGGAGCAAACAGG
This 430-nucleotide ribosomal RNA is filed under the name Pseudomonadota bacterium. Its description in RNAcentral is "Proteobacteria bacterium partial 16S ribosomal RNA". It matches the Rfam family "Bacterial small subunit ribosomal RNA", at positions 355 to 776 of the family's 1533-position model. Lineage: Bacteria; Pseudomonadati; Pseudomonadota. The record is from RNAcentral.